Molecule: ribosomal RNA, 497 nt
Filed under: uncultured bacterium
Lineage: Bacteria
Description: partial 16S ribosomal RNA
Rfam family: Bacterial small subunit ribosomal RNA
Source: RNAcentral
GAUGAACGCUGGCGGCGUGCCUAAUACAUGCAAGUCGAGCGAACAGACGAGGAGCUUGCUCCUCUGACGUUAGCGGCGGACGGGUGAGUAACACGUGGAUAACCUACCUAUAAGACUGGGAUAACUUCGGGAAACCGGCGCUAAUACCGGAUAAUAUAUUGAACAGCAUGGUUCAAUAGUGAAUGACGGUUUUGCUGUCACUUAUAGAUGGAUCCGCGCCGCAUUAGCUAGUUGGUAAGGUAACGGCUUACCAAGGCAACGAUGCGUAGCCGACCUGAGAGGGUGAUCGGCCACACUGGAACUGAGACACGGUCCAGACUCCUACGGGAGGCAGCAGUAGGGAAUCUUCCGCAAUGGGCGAAAGCCUGACGGAGCAACGCCGCGUGAGUGAUGAAGGUCUUCGGAUCGUAAAACUCUGUUAUUAGGGAAGAACAAAUGUGUAAGUAACUAUGCACGUCUUGACGGUACCUAAUCAGAAAGCCACGGCUAACUACGUG